RNAcentral lists this ribosomal RNA (1572 nucleotides) under Triticum aestivum (bread wheat). Its description in RNAcentral is "partial small subunit ribosomal RNA". Lineage: Eukaryota; Viridiplantae; Streptophyta; Magnoliopsida; Poales; Poaceae. The record is from RNAcentral.
AUGUCUCAAGAGUCACUUAAGAUGUUUCUGCAAUACAUGGUGAAACAACUUGUUGUUUACAGGCGUAGCGGUGGGCUUCCAAGAACAAAUUACAGUUGCAGAAAAUUAGUGAUUCCAAUACUAAACGUGAUGAGUGAGAGGACGCGGAUUACCUAUUCACGUAGAGCUGUGUCUAAGAACAGUGAGAUCAAGAAAGAUGAACAAACAGUCAUAGAAAAGGAAGAUGACACUGAAAGCACAUUGGAGAUAGAGCGAAUCAGAGGUGACCCUAGUAUGCUCCAAUCCAUGACAGUGAAAGAACUCAAGGAACUCACAAGGAGGAUGGGAGUUGCUGCGAGAGGUAACAAGAAAGAUUUGGUAUCAGCUCUGAUGGAAUCUCUGGGUGAGGAAGUAAUUGGUAAAGAGGGAGCAUCAACCAUUGAGCAGAUUGGCCCAUCAGAAGUACCUUCAAAAAGAAAAGGUGCCGCUUCAGUAGUGGUUGAACAAAAGCUAGAAACUUCUGAAGUUAUUUCCGCAACUCCUAGCAAGAGAAGUAGAACCAAGCAGAAAUCAAUUAAGGGCACCACUCCGGAGGAGAACCCUGUGACUACUGUCAAGAUAAAUAAAACAUCACACAAGAAGGAAACAGUUGUUGCCAAUGGUGCUAUUGCAAAGGCGGGGUUGGGUCUUAAUGUGGAUGGUGCAGAGCCUUGGACUGUACUUGUACACAAGAAGCCACAGGCUGAGUGGAUUCCAUACAAUCCUAAGGUCAUGAGGCCUCCACCCCUUAGCAAGGAUACAAGGGCGCUAAAGAUUCUAUCAUGGAAUGUCAAUGGACUGAAAGCUCUAGUAAAAAAUAGGGGCUUCUCUGUUCAUGAGUUAGCACAGAGGGAGGAUUUUGAUGUGCUAUGCCUGCAAGAAACGAAAAUUCAGGAGAAAGAUGUUGACGUCAUCAAGGAAAGUCUACUUGAAGGGUAUACCAAUAGUUUCUGGACAUGUAGUGUGUCAAAGCUUGGCUAUUCAGGGACUGCCAUAAUUUCACGGGUGAAACCACUUUCUAUCAAGUAUGGGCUUGGUGUACCAGACCAUGAUACAGAAGGGAGGAUUGUGACGGUGGAAUUUGAUGAUUUUUACUUGCUAACCGCUUAUGUGCCGAAUUCCGGUGAUGGUCUCAAAAGAUUGACUUACAGAGUCACAGAGUGGGAUCCAUGCCUUGGUAACUACAUGAAAGAAUUGGAAAAAUCGAAACCUGUCAUACUAACUGGUGAUCUUAACUGUGCGCAUCAGGAGAUUGAUAUACAUGAUCCUGCUGGAAAUAGUAGAAGUGCCGGCUUCACAAAAGAAGAAAGGAAAUCGUUCGAGACUAAUUUUCUGUCCAAAGGGUUCGUGGAUACGUUUCGGAAACAGCACCCUGAUGUUGUUGGAUAUAGCUACUGGGGUUAUAGGCAUAAUUGCCGGAAGACUAAUAGAGGUUGGCGCCUGGAUUACUUCCUCGUGUCGGAGUCCAUCGCAGAAAGAGUCCACGACUCAUACAUCCUCCCAGACGUUUCUGCCAGUGACCACAGCCCACUCGGCCUCAUACUGAAGCUCUAG